UUUCCUUGAACCUCCUAAAAUGUUAGCCAUGCCCUUGCAGGUAUAUAAGGGCAGGGCAUUGCCGGCCAGUCAGUGAGAUAUAAGAACGAAGUGAAGUGAGAACCCAGCUGCAAUAUUGUGAACCUGUUUUAUUGUGUAAUUGUGGAUAAAUCAGUGUGAGUGCAGCGAGGCAAGAGGGCUGGUGUGAAAGAGACGAGAUACUGAUAGGACGUGAGGAGCAGCAGUAAAGCUUUACCGACACAAAGGCAAGACAACAAACAAGUAGCUCAGAGGAAUCAUCAUCUCCCACACUGGCCCAGUGAUGCCACUGACUACAGCACAAAGGGAGAGACAAAAAGGAAGUGCAAAAAGCCUGCACUGUUCAGCAAGGAAAAGGAGUCAGCAGCUCCUUUGACAGGCAGCUAGGAAGAAGUAGGACACCGACUCAUCUUGCACACUUCUGUAGGUGCCUCUGUAUGGAUUAAGAUGCUUAACUCUAGGCACUCCAGUUUGAAAAGCCUACCCAUUAUGGUUAGACGAUGUGAGCUGAUGGGAUAGCCUAUUGCUAUAGGCCCAAGGUGGAUGCAAGUGGCUAGUGCCGAGGGAAGAGUUCUGAAUAAGACAUUCCAAUAAUGUAGAAUUUAUGGCAUGAGUGAAAGAGAUGAAAAAAUCUGCCUUUCAGCUGCUUCCAUCUCCAACACUGCUUGUGAUUUGCUAAUCUAGCCUUCAACAAGCACUCUGGUGUCCAAUAAAAUCUGUUUAAUAUCUUAGGUUGGGGAAGGGGAGUGGAGUUUACAGGAUGUUUC
Mauremys mutica (yellowpond turtle) is the source of this 785-nucleotide long non-coding RNA. RefSeq lists it as uncharacterized. NCBI's taxonomy places the organism in Eukaryota, Metazoa, Chordata, Testudines, Geoemydidae. The transcript has 4 exons. The record is from RefSeq and is a predicted model, not a curated record.